RNAcentral lists this ribosomal RNA (460 nucleotides) under uncultured bacterium. RNAcentral describes it as "partial 16S ribosomal RNA". It matches the Rfam family "Bacterial small subunit ribosomal RNA", at positions 338 to 795 of the family's 1533-position model. The record is from RNAcentral.
CCUACGGGAGGCAGCAGUGAGGAAUAUUGGGCAAUGGGCGCGAGCCUGAACCAGCCAAGCCGCGUGAGGGAUGAAGGUUCUAUGGAUCGUAAACCUCUUUUAUAAGGGAAUGAAGUGUGCGGCGUGUCCUAUUUUGUAUGUACCUUAUGAAUAAGGAUCGGCUAACUCCGUGCCAGCAGCCGCGGUAAUACGGAGGAUCCGAGCGUUAUCCGGUUUUGUUGUGUUUAAAGGGUGCGUAGGCGGUCUUUUAAGUCAGCGGUGAAAGUCUGUGGCUCAACCAUAGAAUUGCCGUUGAAACUGGGGGGCUUGAGUAUGUGUGAGGAAGGCGGAAUGCGUGGUGUAGCGGUGAAAUGCUUAGAUAUCACGCAGAACCCCGAUGGCGAAGGCAGCCUGCUAAGCCAUGACUGACGCUGAUGCACGAAAGCGUGGGGAUCAAACAGGAUUAGAUACCCGAGUAGUC